This 2899-nucleotide ribosomal RNA is filed under the name Klebsiella pneumoniae. RNAcentral's name for it is "23S ribosomal RNA". It matches the Rfam family "Bacterial large subunit ribosomal RNA". Lineage: Bacteria; Pseudomonadati; Pseudomonadota; Gammaproteobacteria; Enterobacterales; Enterobacteriaceae. The record is from RNAcentral.
UUAAGCGACUAAGCGUACACGGUGGAUGCCCUGGCAGUCAGAGGCGAUGAAGGACGUGCUAAUCUGCGAAAAGCGUCGGUAAGGUGAUAUGAACCGUUAUAACCGGCGAUGUCCGAAUGGGGAAACCCAGUGUGAUUCGUCACACUAUCGUUAACUGAAUACAUAGGUUAACGAGGCGAACCGGGGGAACUGAAACAUCUAAGUACCCCGAGGAAAAGAAAUCAACCGAGAUUCCCCCAGUAGCGGCGAGCGAACGGGGAGCAGCCCAGAGUCUGAAUCAGCUUGUGUGUUAGUGGAACGGUCUGGAAAGUCCGACGGUACAGGGUGAUAGUCCCGUACACCAAAAUGCACAGGCUGUGAACUCGAAGAGUAGGGCGGGACACGUGGUAUCCUGUCUGAAUAUGGGGGGACCAUCCUCCAAGGCUAAAUACUCCUGACUGACCGAUAGUGAACCAGUACCGUGAGGGAAAGGCGAAAAGAACCCCGGCGAGGGGAGUGAAAAAGAACCUGAAACCGUGUACGUACAAGCAGUGGGAGCACCUUCGGGUGUGACUGCGUACCUUUUGUAUAAUGGGUCAGCGACUUAUAUUCUGUAGCAAGGUUAACCGUAUAGGGGAGCCGCAGGGAAACCGAGUCUUAACUGGGCGUUAAGUUGCAGGGUAUAGACCCGAAACCCGGUGAUCUAGCCAUGGGCAGGUUGAAGGUUGGGUAACACUAACUGGAGGACCGAACCGACUAAUGUUGAAAAAUUAGCGGAUGACUUGUGGCUGGGGGUGAAAGGCCAAUCAAACCGGGAGAUAGCUGGUUCUCCCCGAAAGCUAUUUAGGUAGCGCCUCGUGAACUCAUCUUCGGGGGUAGAGCACUGUUUCGGCUAGGGGGUCAUCCCGACUUACCAACCCGAUGCAAACUACGAAUACCGAAGAAUGUUAUCACGGGAGACACACGGCGGGUGCUAACGUCCGUCGUGAAGAGGGAAACAACCCAGACCGCCAGCUAAGGUCCCAAAGUCAUGGUUAAGUGGGAAACGAUGUGGGAAGGCACAGACAGCCAGGAUGUUGGCUUAGAAGCAGCCAUCAUUUAAAGAAAGCGUAAUAGCUCACUGGUCGAGUCGGCCUGCGCGGAAGAUGUAACGGGGCUAAACCAUGCACCGAAGCUGCGGCAGCGACACUAUGUGUUGUUGGGUAGGGGAGCGUUCUGUAAGCCUGCGAAGGUGUGCUGUGAGGCAUGCUGGAGGUAUCAGAAGUGCGAAUGCUGACAUAAGUAACGAUAAAGCGGGUGAAAAGCCCGCUCGCCGGAAGACCAAGGGUUCCUGUCCAACGUUAAUCGGGGCAGGGUGAGUCGACCCCUAAGGCGAGGCCGAAAGGCGUAGUCGAUGGGAAACAGGUUAAUAUUCCUGUACUUGGUGUUACUGCGAAGGGGGGACGGAGAAGGCUAUGUUAGCCGGGCGACGGUUGUCCCGGUUUAAGCAUGUAGGCUGGUUGUCCAGGCAAAUCCGGAUAAUCAAGGCUGAGGUGUGAUGACGAGGCACUACGGUGCUGAAGUAACAAAUGCCCUGCUUCCAGGAAAAGCCUCUAAGCAUCAGGUAACAUCAAAUCGUACCCCAAACCGACACAGGUGGUCAGGUAGAGAAUACCAAGGCGCUUGAGAGAACUCGGGUGAAGGAACUAGGCAAAAUGGUGCCGUAACUUCGGGAGAAGGCACGCUGGUGUGUAGGUGAAGUCCCUGCGGAUGGAGCUGAGACCAGUCGAAGAUACCAGCUGGCUGCAACUGUUUAUUAAAAACACAGCACUGUGCAAACACGAAAGUGGACGUAUACGGUGUGACGCCUGCCCGGUGCCGGAAGGUUAAUUGAUGGGGUUAUCCGUAAGGAGAAGCUCUUGAUCGAAGCCCCGGUAAACGGCGGCCGUAACUAUAACGGUCCUAAGGUAGCGAAAUUCCUUGUCGGGUAAGUUCCGACCUGCACGAAUGGCGUAAUGAUGGCCAGGCUGUCUCCACCCGAGACUCAGUGAAAUUGAACUCGCUGUGAAGAUGCAGUGUACCCGCGGCAAGACGGAAAGACCCCGUGAACCUUUACUAUAGCUUGACACUGAACAUUGAGCCUUGAUGUGUAGGAUAGGUGGGAGGCUUUGAAGCGUGGACGCCAGUCUGCGUGGAGCCAACCUUGAAAUACCACCCUUUAAUGUUUGAUGUUCUAACGUUGGCCCCUUAUCGGGGUUGCGGACAGUGUCUGGUGGGUAGUUUGACUGGGGCGGUCUCCUCCCAAAGCGUAACGGAGGAGCACGAAGGUUAGCUAAUCCUGGUCGGACAUCAGGAGGUUAGUGCAAUGGCAUAAGCUAGCUUGACUGCGAGCGUGACGGCGCGAGCAGGUGCGAAAGCAGGUCAUAGUGAUCCGGUGGUUCUGAAUGGAAGGGCCAUCGCUCAACGGAUAAAAGGUACUCCGGGGAUAACAGGCUGAUACCGCCCAAGAGUUCAUAUCGACGGCGGUGUUUGGCACCUCGAUGUCGGCUCAUCACAUCCUGGGGCUGAAGUAGGUCCCAAGGGUAUGGCUGUUCGCCAUUUAAAGUGGUACGCGAGCUGGGUUUAGAACGUCGUGAGACAGUUCGGUCCCUAUCUGCCGUGGGCGCUGGAGAAUUGAGGGGGGCUGCUCCUAGUACGAGAGGACCGGAGUGGACGCAUCACUGGUGUUCGGGUUGUCAUGCCAAUGGCACUGCCCGGUAGCUAAAUGCGGAAGAGAUAAGUGCUGAAAGCAUCUAAGCACGAAACUUGCCCCGAGAUGAGUUCUCCCUGAGACUUUAAGUCUCCUGAAGGAACGUUGAAGACGACGACGUUGAUAGGCCGGGUGUGUAAGCGCAGCGAUGCGUUGAGCUAACCGGUACUAAUGAACCGUGAGGCUUAACCU